UGUGUCCUUCCUCAUGUCCAAACGGCAAGGUGACAAGAUAAAAGUAAAAACAGGGGGUGGAUGUUGCCAUAUAUCACAUGAUUGCAUUUGUAAUUUAUGAUAUGAGACAGACUAUUUGUCGAUUUGUCAUUUUCUGGGUUUGUCGACAGUCAUACCAUAUGCUAAACGUGUCACCAAAGUAGAACUAAAAAGAAGGUGCAGAGGAAACUACUGCAACACAACAUCGAGAGAUGCAAGGUUUUGGUUU
RNAcentral lists this long non-coding RNA (247 nucleotides) under Elaeis guineensis (African oil palm). RNAcentral's name for it is "long non-coding RNA (EGUI_LNC038132)". The record is from RNAcentral. Lineage: Eukaryota; Viridiplantae; Streptophyta; Magnoliopsida; Arecales; Arecaceae.